RNAcentral lists this ribosomal RNA (451 nucleotides) under Acanthodrilinae n. gen. 2 n. sp. 1 TRB-2010. RNAcentral describes it as "partial 16S ribosomal RNA". It matches the Rfam family "Bacterial large subunit ribosomal RNA", at positions 1859 to 2597 of the family's 2925-position model. The record is from RNAcentral. Lineage: Eukaryota; Metazoa; Annelida; Clitellata; Crassiclitellata; Megascolecidae.
CUGCCCAGUGACAGAGUUCAACGGCCGCGGUAUCCUAACCGUGCAAAGGUAGCAUAAUAACUUGCCUAUUAAUUGUAGGCUAGAAUGAACGGACAAACGAAACUAAAGCUGUCUCAAUUAGUAACCCCAAAAAUUAAUAUCUACACGAAGAAAACUAGAUAUUGUCGAAGGACAAGAAGACCCUACAGAGCUUUAUUUCUAAUGUGGGAACAACUACAGAAAAAUUCGGUUGGGGCGACCAAGGUCACAUUUAACUCCCUGAAAAGUUGAGAUAUAUUUAUCUACUAAAUGACCCCCCUAAGAUCACAAAAUCAAGCUACCUUAGGGGUAACAGACUUAUCCUAUUAAAGAGUCCAUAUCAAUAAUGGGAUUUGGCACCUCGAUGUUGGCUUAGGGUAUCAACAUAGCGCAAAAGUUAUAUAUAGAUGGUUUGUUCAACCAACAAUACCCU